CCUACGGGGGGCAGCAGUGAGGAAUAUUGGUCAAUGGACGAGAGUCUGAACCAGCCAAGUAGCGUGAAGGAUGAAUGCCCUAUGGGUUGUAAACUUCUUUUAUAUGGGAAUAAAACGUUCCACUUGUGGAUUUUUGUAUGUACCAUAUGAAUAAGGACCGGCUAACUCCGUGCCAGCAGCCGCGGUAAUACGGAGGAGCCGAGCGUUAUCCGGAUUUAUUGGGUUUAAAGGGAGCGUAGGUGGGUGGUUAAGUCAGUUGUGAAAGUUUGCGGCUCAACUGGAAAAUUGCAGUUGAAACUGGCAGGCUUGAGUACAGGAGAGGUAGGCGGAAUUCGUGGUGUAGCGGUGAAAUGCUUAGAUAUCACGAAGAACUCCGAUUGCGAAGGCAGUUCACUGGACUGCAACUGACACUGAGGCUCGAAAGUGUGGGUAUCAAACAGGAUUAGAUACCCUAGUAGUC
RNAcentral lists this ribosomal RNA (460 nucleotides) under uncultured bacterium. Its description in RNAcentral is "partial 16S ribosomal RNA". It matches the Rfam family "Bacterial small subunit ribosomal RNA", at positions 338 to 795 of the family's 1533-position model. The record is from RNAcentral.